This is a long non-coding RNA of Sinocyclocheilus grahami, 461 nucleotides long. RefSeq lists it as uncharacterized. The transcript is spliced from 3 exons. The record is from RefSeq and is a predicted model, not a curated record. NCBI's taxonomy places the organism in Eukaryota, Metazoa, Chordata, Actinopteri, Cypriniformes, Cyprinidae.
GAGCACACAAUGCCUCAGUGAAAUGUGACCGCAUGAGAUCUCAAAAGAUACGAAGAAGGCCUGAGUCUUGUCACGCUUACCACCCUCAAGAAAAUGCUAAGGAGUGCGGCAAUCAGCUUGUCCAUCAUGCUGUUCCUAUCCUGUUUAUCAGUCUCUGCACUCAUCCGUCGAUGACAGAGGGCCUGUUAAACUCCCAAGGGAGUCACCUAUAGUGCACAUGCUCAACUCGGCAUGUUUUUAUUAGCAAUAACUGCUGGGCUUUUAUGGCUUUGUCUUCACACUGUCUCUGAACCUCUGACCAAUCUGCAAAAACAUCUUUGAAAAAUCAGUGUCAUCAGUGGGGAUCGAUCGAAAUGAGACCCAGACAAGGAUGAAGAGAAGCUGAGCUUCUCUGAACUGUGACAUUACAGAGGAGAAUUUAUGGCCAGUAGCUGUAUGUGACUGUAUCUCUAUAUAAAGCA